Perca flavescens (yellow perch) is the source of this 73-nucleotide non-coding RNA. The record is from the annotation of a RefSeq genome assembly. Lineage: Eukaryota; Metazoa; Chordata; Actinopteri; Perciformes; Percidae.
GGUUGCAUAGUGUAGUAGUCAUCACGUCUGCUUUACACGCAAAAGGUCCUGGGUUCAAUCCCCAGUGCAACUA